This is a long non-coding RNA of Lycium barbarum (goji berry), 3750 nucleotides long. RefSeq lists it as uncharacterized. The transcript has 10 exons. The record is from RefSeq and is a predicted model, not a curated record. NCBI's taxonomy places the organism in Eukaryota, Viridiplantae, Streptophyta, Magnoliopsida, Solanales, Solanaceae.
UGCUCCAUCUUGCUUCACUUUCUUCUUCUUCUUUGUUAUUCUAUUCAUUCUGUUUUUGUCUCUUCUACAUGUGCUGAUAAUUGCUCAUUUCUUUUUGUCUUUGUUUUAUUUUAGUUUGAUAUUUUUACCAAGGAUUUUGAGAUUUUCUCUUAGGGUUUGGAAAUUUGAGGUUUUCAGAAUUUAAUUAAGUUUUCAUUUCAGAGGAAUUGAAAGAUGUGAUACUGACGAUUGACUUAGAUGCUUCUCCACGGACAGAGAUUUGAUUCGGAGAUAAUCGUGAAUAGAGUCGCGAUGUUGAUGAAUGAGAUGGAGUUUUCUUGUGCCUAGAGAACUACUAAAGAAGCAGCAUAGCCAGUAACAACUUUCUGAUACAUUCAACCUUUAUUUGAAGAAAGUAGAGAGUUCAAAAAAAGCUUGAGGAGCUAAAUAUGCGCGGAAAUAUCUAAUGAGAAAAAAAAUGUGGACUGUGACAACGAGAACAAGUCUAACAAUCAAGACAAGCCUCAUCAAAUAGGAGGAAAAGGUGAGAAGCACAACUUUCAGGCAAAGCAGAUCAAACGGAAAUCUUAACAAGAAAAGGAAGGAUGAAGAAGAUGCAAGCAAUGAAAAUCCUGCAAUUGCAAAGAGAACUCAUGCUUUUUGGUCUAUAAAGUUUCACAGGGAUUCCUAAUGAACACUUCACAUAGAGCUUCAUAGGAAGCUUAUUGCAGCAGUUAAUUAUUUAUGCAUUGGAAGUGAUUUUCUUUAGCAUCACUGUGGAAGAUUUUGACCUGAUGAAUGUUGAUGGAGUUACAAGAGGGAAUGUGGCAAGCCAUCUCCAGGUACUCUUCUUUCGAUGAGGUCGGGAGAAAAUGACGAUGCUGCAGACGAGAAUGGAUGGAGGUUGCUUGAACAAGUUUAAGAUGAGCCCCUAUACGUAAAACCACUUGGUGUCAUAAGUCAUUGAAUGCUUGUUUAGUUGGUAAAAAAGAAUUACGUCUAUGCUUUGUGAUGAGAUGAGUUUCAGAUAGCUGGUUGCUAUAGUUCUACUGAGUGCCAGGAAAAGUACAUAUGGAGGGUGGUUUAGAUUCUAAACAGCCAAUUGACACUUUAUAUUUCCUCCUUUCACUCAGUAAUCAAGUAGUCUCAGCUGUUGAACUGAACAACCAUUUUGCUGAUAUUAGGUUCAUCCGGCUACCAGCUAUAAGAGAUGUACAGGCAAAUUGAAAGAUUGAAUCUGACAUGAAUAUUGACGAUUAAUCAGAAUCUUCUGCACUGACAGAGAUUAGAUUCAGAUGUUACGGCGAGUGACAGGUGCUCUUGAUUAGAGAAAGAUCAGGCGGUGCUAAUGAUGCACAUAAAAUAUCUGAUAAAAUGUCCUGCAAGAAAAUAGUGCCUACUGCAUCAGGAGAUGGCUCUACAAUAGUUGCUGAUACCUUGAAAUAAUACAUAGAGAUGAUAUCGAUAUGCCAGAUAUGUUCUCUUACUUUCUAAUACUACUUGGACCUCAGGGAGCUGCUCUAUUAUUAGCUAAAGAAAUAGAUAAGGAGAAGCUUAUUUUUCUGUUGUUGCAUGUCUAUGUCUUAGUUAUUUGCUUUGCAACUUGAACUAUUUUGAUGCGUGAUUUCCGUAGGAAUGUGCAACCGUGGUAGUAUCAAUUAUCCUCAAGUCCAAUAGAAAUUUCACCUUAACUUCUAUUUGCAUACAAGCCAAUUGUUUGUGGAUCUCUUUUUCUUCUGAGAUUAAUUAUGAUUUGUGGGUCAAUACUCAGGACAUGUUUAUGUCAAAUAAUAAAAUGUAUAAUGGUAAUUAUUCUUGGUAUAAAGGAUGAAAAUAAAGAACUGAAAAAGAAUAAGAAAGACAAUAUUUAGACUACAUGGGAGUAAGAACCUUUUACAUUUACAUGCUUGGACCAUUUCGCUUAUUAGAAUUGCAUUGAGAGUUGAUAAAAGUGCACAUAAAUCCUAUGCUGAGAAUUUUAAAAAUUAAUUGAAGAGUGCCCGUGUCAUAGUUCGUUCAUGUUUUAAACGGUAGAAUAGGGGUGUGCUGCAAUUUUGAAAAGCUGAAAGACAAAAAGUGGAAGAACAAUGCUCCACAGGAAUGCUCAAAGAAUUCUUCCUUCAAUAGUCUUCACAUAAGCAAUAAACAAGAUACAUCCUUAUGACCGAUUAGGCUCUUACUGGUACAAUUUUGCAGGUGGUGGUUCCUUUUAGGUAUCAGAUAUUCUCGAUAAUUUGACUUUUUCUUUUUGGAAUUUCGGAAGAUUCAAGUGACCAAAUUAAUGAUGCUAUUGAAAGGGUCCCAAGAGUUAAGUUUGUUGCUGGAGCUUUUGAGUACCCUCCGAGUUAUAAGUCAUUGUUGGAUAUUGUUUGUUAUGAAGUAUGUUUGUAUUGUCUCUUGUCAUCUGUAACUUUAUUUCCUUUCCUCUAUCUUAUUUUGUUGAAUUCUUUAACUGAACUUGAGAAUUCAAUAAAGAACUAGAUCGAGGAACUUCAAAUUGCUUAAAAUGAAACUGAAAAUCCUCUCAAGGAAGAGCAAACUGAAUAUAGAGGUUUACAUCUUCUUUUAGAUUAGACUUCUAGUUGCUCUUAGUUUCAUGAGAAACAUUAGGAAUUCAUUAUCUGCUGCAAGAUAAAAGUCAAUUACAGUUACAUGCUCUUUUCUUUGCAGUUAGUUAGAGCUGCAUGUUCUUUUUAUGCUUUGUACCUACGAUUAGAUUUAGACAUGGAUUUGAAUAAUGUCCUCUAGCUCUAUUGCAGAACACAUUGAUAUGAUUUUUUACUUGCUUCUAAUAGUUUUCAAGCUUCUAUUAGCUUCUGGUAUGUUGCAUGCUUAGAUUAAAUUUACUUGGACUGUGAAAGAUUAUUGUUUCCAUUUGUUGUAUCAUAAUUAAAACAAAUUUUAUAAGGAUGCUUAAUAACUAAGAUUGGUAGAUACGUUUUAGACUUUUAGUUGAUUUGGACUGUGAAGGAACCAAACUUAUGUUCAAACUUAAGUUGAGACAGUACCUUAUAUUGGGUAUCUAACAAUAAAUAGUUUUAUAUACUUGAGAGAUAGACGACUCAAACUAGGAUGUGAAGUGUUUCAUAAUAACCGAUUAGAGAGGAAGAGUUGAUUGGAAACUCCCUCUUCGAUUUACCAUCUAACACUUCAUAUCUGCUGCUAAUCGAGUUCAUUUUGUGGGAACACGAUCAAGGGAUGGGUUUUUCUAUCCACAAUUGAUUUACUUCCUGAAAAAUCUUCUAAUGAGCUAAGGUGGCAGAAAGCACAACUUACACAGGCAAAGAAGAAUCUGAGAUGCAUUUUUGAAGUCAUGAUGAUGAUGAGAAUGGUAGUGGGCAGGUUGUCUAUCAGUACUAGAAAAGACACGUUCAAGGCACUUGAUGCGGUGGAAAAUAUUGUAGCAGAUUUUUUUGUCAUGAAAGAGUUUCAUCCGGCAACAACUUACUUUUGUUAUCAACCACAACUGCUGAAUUUGUUAUCAGUUACAACUACCAAAAUUCAAAUUCCAUGCCACUCUAACAUAUCUCAUACAUAUGUUGGUCCACUUAUAAUUCACUAUUUCUGUCUUUCUAGCAAGCUCAUUGUAUAACUUUGUUCCCCAAACGAAUAUAAUGUACUACUAAGCAUAAUAUGUUAAUAUUUAGUUUAAUCAUGUUUUCUUUAUUUCCAUCUCAUUAGUGUAACGCAAAAUGCCCGUGCCUUGCACGGGCACAGGCUAUCUAGUAUUUUAUAGAAAUGAGAGUUGUGGAGGACGAACAGGUAUGAACA